GGUUGUGGCUUAGAGGUAGAGCACUUGCCUAGCACAUGUGAGGCACUGGGUUCAAUCCUCAGCACCA
This 67-nucleotide transfer RNA is filed under the name Marmota monax (woodchuck). RNAcentral describes it as "tRNA.Ala". The record is from RNAcentral. Lineage: Eukaryota; Metazoa; Chordata; Mammalia; Rodentia; Sciuridae.